Molecule: ribosomal RNA, 3208 nt
Filed under: Candida viswanathii
Lineage: Eukaryota; Fungi; Ascomycota; Pichiomycetes; Serinales; Debaryomycetaceae
Description: large subunit ribosomal RNA
Rfam family: Bacterial large subunit ribosomal RNA (bases 105-2934)
Source: RNAcentral
AACUUAAGGUAGAGGUAAUUGAAAUUAUUCUCUUAAUAAUUAAAUAUUUAAGUAUAAAAAUCAUUAUUAUAAUUAAAUAUAGACAAAGAUAUAGGUAUAAACCGAUCUAAGCUAGAAAUAGUAAAAUUAAUAUUAGAAAUAUCUGAAUUGAAACAUCUUAGUAAGAUAUUAAGAAACCAAUAGGGAGUAUUUGAGUACUGGUGAAGGAAAGAAUAUAAGUCUAUAAGUAAUAUUAAAUAAUAUAAAAAUAGUAGAACUACUACUAAGACUAAAAAUUAAUUAUAAGUAUAUAGUACCGUGAGGGAAAGAUGAUUAAAUAAAGAAUAAAUAUAUAAGAUUAUAAAUUAUUAUAUUAAAUAAUCUGUAUAAGAUUAGAGCUGUAAUAGGCGAAUAUAAUUGAACGGUCGCCCUUUUUUAUUUAUAAUAAAAAAGGGCGGUUAUGAAUAUAUGUUAUAUAUCUAAAAAUACUUAAAUAAAGAGCAACUAUAGUAAUAGUGUACCUCUUGUAUAAUGGGUCAGUGAGUUAAUAUUAUUAGCAUAAUAUAAUUAAUAAAUUAAUUUUUAAUAAUAAAAAUAAGAAGUUAAUAAUAUUAGACCCGAAAGUAUAUGAUUUAUACAUAAUCAGAGAAUGUAUUUAGGAGUAUGUAAUAUGGAUUGGCCCGCCUUUUAUAUAAUAAAAGGCGGUUAUGGAUGAUAUUUUAUAUCUCCCCAUUUGAUCAAUCGUAUCCUAUUAAUAUUAUAUCUUUUAAUAUUUAAGAAGAUACAUAUUUAUAUUUUAAUAAUAUAUAUAUAUAUUAUAUAUAAAUAGUUAUAUUAUAUAUAAAUAAAUAUAAUUGCUCGAACAGGUAGGUGUUGCAAUACCUUCUGAAGAAUUAUGUAUCGAUGUGAAAGGCUACUCUCAUAUACCGAUAGCUGGUUAUCUGUGAAAUAUAUUUUAGUAUAGCCAUUAAUAAAAAAAUAAUACUAGGUAAAUCACUUAAUUUGAGGUGAUGAUGAAGUAAUAUUAUGUAGCCCUGCCCAAUAGGGCGGAGUCAUGGUACUAUGGAAUCAUCCUAUGGGAGUUUAUUAAACUUAUCAUACGAAUUAAAUAUCUGAACUAGUUAUAAAUAUAUAUUAAUGAGUCAAUUUAUAUGCGAUAAGGUAUAUAAAUGAAAAGGGAAUAACCUAGAUUAUUAAAUGUAAGUCCUAAAUAAAGACUAAGUGGUGUGAAUCUAUAUGAAGAGGAUACCGCCGCCCUUGCUUGCAAGGGCGGCUAUGUGUCUAAUUAGCUAAUUUAUCUGUAGAUAUGAUAGUAAUCAUCUCUUAAUGAUUGUGUAACAACUCAUUUAUUAAAUAAUAAGAUUAUAGAUAAGAUAUACAGGCCUAAGUCUUUGACUGAAUUAUAAAAAGAUAUAUAUAUAUAUCUUUAGUAACAGAUUAUAUUAUAAAUAAAAUAAUAAAGAAUAUGCUGACUUGAGUAACGUAAGAAAGGAUAAGCCUUUCCUCCGAUAAACAUAAGGUUUUUAAUAUAAAUUAACGGUCUCUAAUUAAUUAUUAAUGAAAAUAAUAAUAAGAUGAGUGAUAUAAUAACAGGAAAAUGAGAUAACCGUACUGGAAACCGACACUGGUAUGUAAUAAUGUAUUGGGGAACGCCGCCUUUAUUUUAUAAAGGCGGCGCAUGAAUAUUCAUGCUGUUUUCUAGAAUAUAUAAUAUAUAUAUAUUAAUACAUUAAUUAGGAGUAUGAGAUAAUCCAUAUGAAUGAACUCGACAAUUAAGAAGAAUAAUAUAACUUCUAUAUAUAGUGCGACUGUUUACCAAAAACAUAGCUUAUUGCAGUUCUGACAAGAAUAGUAUAAUAGGUGAUACCUGCCCAGUAUUUAAGAUAUAAAUAUAAAUAAGGAUUAAAUAAACGGCGGUCUUAUCAUGAGGAUCCGAAGGUAGCGAAAUUCCUAGACGCUUAAUUGGCGUCCUGCAUGAAUGAAUAUACGAUGCUAUAAGUGUAUCCAUAUGGGGCUCAGUGAAAUAGUAAUUGCAGUGAAGAUACUGUAUAGCAAUAGAUUGACGAGAAGACCCUAUACAGCUUUACUAUAAAAUUAUUUUGAUAUUCGAUACGUUGUAAAAUUGUAUCGUUAACAACUAAAACUACAGUAGAUUACCCCGCCCAAAGGGCGGGGCAUCACUAUGUUGCUUUAAGUGAUAAGUUGAUUUGGAAGUUAAAAUAUCUAAUCUAAUAAUAAGAAUAUAAUAUAUAGUAAUAUUAAAUGAGAUUGUACUACCCGCCCUUUAUUUUAAUAAAGGGCGGGAUACUUAGGAUAUUUAUAUAUCCCCACUUAAUACUACUUUAUUCUUAUAGAUACAGAAUAAUUUUGUUAGUUUCGAUGGGGCGUCGACAUCACACAAUUUAACUGAUGUGUCUACAUGAUAAUAUAUUAUAAAUAACUUAUUAAAUUAUAGGUUAUAACAGUAUAGACUGAUACAGUAAUAUUAAAUGGUAAUUAAUAAUAUAAUUAGCUUGUAUAAGCAAUUAAAUGUUAAAUAUAAUAACAUAACUGUGUUUUGAUAAAAUAAUUUACAGAUUAUUUUAAUACGUAAGUAUAGUAUAAUGAACAGGCAAUAACUGAAGUAAAGUAUGUCGAUAACGAAUUAAAGUUACGUUAGGGAUAACAGGGUAAUACCGCUAGAGAGUUGAUAUCGUCAGCGGUGUUUGCCACCUCGAUGUCGUCUAGGCUCAACCUUAUGGUCGUAGUAACUAUAAAGGGUAUGACUGUUCGUCAUUUAAGGAGCUACUUGAGAUGGGUUAAUUACGGCGUGAGCCAGUAAUGUUUCUAUCAUCUAUUGCAAAAUAACAAUUAUUAAAUUAUACGUGUACGAGAGGAUAAUGUAAUGUGAUUCCAUGGUGAUGACACUAAUAGGUACGCCGCCCUUGCAUCGCAAGGGCGGCUAUGAUUAGAUCUAUAAUUCCCUCAUUCAAUAUUCUUAUCUUUUUUAUAAGAUAUUUAUAUUAUUAUAGAUUCUUUAUUAAGUCAUAAGCUAAAAUCAUAUGUAAUAUAUAUUGAUAUCAUAUCAAAUAUUAAGUCAUUAAUAAAUUGUUAUAAGAACAUUUAAGAUAAAAAUGUAAAUAGUGAUUAAAUUAAGGAGAGUUAUAUCUUUAUUUAGAGAGAGAUAAAUAUAACCUGAGUGGCCCCCGCCCGAAGGGCGGGCAUCCACUUAUUUACUUAGUAUCACUAA